GACGAACGCUGGCGGCGUGCUUAACACAUGCAAGUCGAACGGAAAGGCCCUGCUUUUGUGGGGUGCUCGAGUGGCGAACGGGUGAGUAACACGUGAGUAACCUGCCCUUGACUUUGGGAUAACUUCAGGAAACUGGGGCUAAUACCGGAUAGGAGCUCCUGCUGCAUGGUGGGGGUUGGAAAGUUUCGGCGGUUGGGGAUGGACUCGCGGCUUAUCAGCUUGUUGGUGGGGUAGUGGCUUACCAAGGCUUUGACGGGUAGCCGGCCUGAGAGGGUGACCGGACACAUUGGGACUGAGAUUAGGCCCAGACUCAUACGGGAGGCAGCAGUGGGGAAUAUUGCACAAUGGGCGGAAGCCUUAUGCAGCAACGCCGCGUGCGGGAUGACGGCCUUCGGGUUGUAAACCGCUUUCGCCUGUGACGAAGCGUGAGUGACGGUAAUGGGUAAAGAAGCACCGGCUAACUACGUG
This 468-nucleotide ribosomal RNA is filed under the name uncultured bacterium. Its description in RNAcentral is "partial 16S ribosomal RNA". It matches the Rfam family "Bacterial small subunit ribosomal RNA", at positions 28 to 507 of the family's 1533-position model. The record is from RNAcentral.